CCUACGGGAGGCAGCAGUGAGGAAUAUUGGUCAAUGGGCUAAAGUCUGAACCAGCCAAGUCGCGUGAAGGAUGACUGCCCUAUGGGUUGUAAACUUCUUUUGUCAGGGAGCAAUUGAGUCUACGUGUAGCCUUAUCGAGAGUACCUGAAGAAAAAGCAUCGGCUAACUCCGUGCCAGCAGCCUCGGUAAUACGGAGGAUGCGAGGUUUAUCCGGAUUUAUUGGGUUUAAAGGUUGCGUAGCCGGAAUAUCAGGUCAGCGGUAAAAUCGCGGGGCUAAACCCGGUAGUGCCUUUGAAACUGGUGUUCUAGAGUGGGCGAGAGGUAUGCGGAAUGUGUGGUGUAGCGGUGAAAUGCAUAGAUAUCACGCAGAACUCCGAGUGCGAAGGCAGCAUACCGGCGCACAACUGACGCUGAAGCACGAAAGCGUGGGUAUCGAACAGGAUUAGAGACCCGGGUAGUC
This 460-nucleotide ribosomal RNA is filed under the name uncultured bacterium. Its description in RNAcentral is "partial 16S ribosomal RNA". It matches the Rfam family "Bacterial small subunit ribosomal RNA", at positions 338 to 795 of the family's 1533-position model. The record is from RNAcentral.